AACGUCGAACGCUUCUUUCCUCCCGAGUGCUUGCACUCAAUUGGAAAGAGGAGUGGCGGACGGGUGAGUAACACGUGGGUAACCUACCCAUCAGAGGGGGAUAACACUUGGAAACAGGUGCUAAUACCGCAUAACAGUUUAUGCCGCAUGGCAUAACGACGUGAAAGGCGCUCUCCGGGUGUCGCUGACUGGAUGGACCCGCGGUGCAUUAGCCGUACUCGCGUCCGAGGUAACGGCUCACCCAAGGCCACGAUGCAUAGCCGACCUGAGAGGGUGAUCGGCCACACUGGGCACUGAGACACGGCCCAGACUCCUACGGGAGCAGCAGUAGGGAAUCUUCGGCAAUGGACGAAAGUCUGACCGAGCAACGCCGCGUGAGUGAAGAAGGUUUUCGGAUCGUAAAACUCUGUUGUUACAGAAGAACAAGGACGUUAGUAACUGAACGUCCCCUGACGGUAUCUAACCAGAAAGCCACGGCUAACUACGUGCCAGCAGCCGCGGUAAUACGUAGGUGGCAAGCGUUGUCCGGAUUUAUUGGGCGUAAAGCGAGCGCAGGCGGUUUCUUAAGUCUGAUGUGAGAAGCCCCCGGCUCAACCGGGGAGGGUCAUUGGAAACUGGGAGACUUGAGUGCAGAAGAGGAGAGUGGAAUUCCAUGUGUAGCGGUGAAAUGCGUAGAUAUAUGGAGGAACACCAGUGGCGAAGGCGGCUCUCUGGUCUGUAACUGACGCUGAGGCUCGAAAGCGUGGGGAGCAAACAGGAUUAGAUACCCUGGUAGUCCACGCCNGUAAACGAUGAGUGCGUAAGUGUUGGAGGGUUUCCGCCCUUCAGUGCUGCAGCAAACGCAGUUAAGCACUCCGCCUAGGGAGUACGA
RNAcentral lists this ribosomal RNA (871 nucleotides) under uncultured low G+C Gram-positive bacterium. RNAcentral's name for it is "bacterial SSU rRNA". It matches the Rfam family "Bacterial small subunit ribosomal RNA", at positions 58 to 885 of the family's 1533-position model. Lineage: Bacteria; Bacillati; Bacillota. The record is from RNAcentral.